ACAUGCUUACAACAUAGUGUUAAUGCACUGGAUCUCAUUAGAACUAUUAAGCGUGCUCAUGCUAGAGUAGUACUGGAAUGGGUGACCAUUUGGGAAGUCUUGGUAUUUUACAUGCC
Molecule: non-coding RNA, 116 nt
Organism: Picea glauca (white spruce)
Lineage: Eukaryota; Viridiplantae; Streptophyta; Pinopsida; Pinales; Pinaceae
Source: Rfam